RNAcentral lists this ribosomal RNA (459 nucleotides) under uncultured bacterium. RNAcentral's name for it is "partial 16S ribosomal RNA". It matches the Rfam family "Bacterial small subunit ribosomal RNA", at positions 338 to 795 of the family's 1533-position model. The record is from RNAcentral.
CCUACGGGUGGCAGCAGUGAGGAAUAUUGGUCAAUGGCCGAGAGCCUGAACCAGCCAAGUCGCGUGAGGGAAGACGGCCCUACGGGUUGUAAACCUCUUUUGUCCGGGAGCAACGCGAGUCACGUGUGAGUCAUUGAAAGUACCCGAUGAAAAAGCAUCGGCUAAUUCCGUGCCAGCAGCCGCGGUAAUACGGAGGAUGCGAGCGUUAUCCGGAUUUCUUGGGUUUAAAGGGGGCGUAGGCGGAUGUGCAAGUCAGCGGUCAAAUUGCGGGGCUCAACCCCGUACUGCCGUGGAAACUGGCUGCCUUGAGUGCGCGAAAAGUAUGCGGAAUGCGUGGUGUAGCGGUGAAAUGCUUAGAUAUCACGCAGAACUCCGAUUGCGAAGGCAGCUUGCUGGAGCGGAACUGACGCUCAUGCACGAAAGCGUGGGUAUCGAACAGGAUUAGAUACCCUGGUAGUC